Molecule: RNA transcript, 2180 nt
Organism: Bombus pyrosoma
Lineage: Eukaryota; Metazoa; Arthropoda; Insecta; Hymenoptera; Apidae
Gene name: blood vessel epicardial substance-like
Exons: 10
Source: RefSeq, a predicted model, not a curated record
GUUUGACGUUCAUUAGAUAAGCAAGUUUGUUUCGUAUACGAGUUCGGUUUAUUCUAACUAUCAAAUUACUCUUAACGUUAUAGUUUACUUUUUCAUCUGUAUGCCUUGCGUACGUUCACAUCCUUUCAAAUUUUCCAUGAAUGUUUCUAUAGUCUUCCUGCAGCUAUUGGUAAUGCAAAUACCCUUAUUUAAUUUGAUGUCCACAAGAUGGUAUUUGUCUUCAAGUUUUAACUUUAGCUGAGAAUAGAAAUGUGAAAAAUGACAGGAUAUUUACAAGUGGCAUAUAAUAUUCAAUUUAACAUCUCCUAUGAAUAAUAUUAUUUAUUUUAUUGUUGUAGAGUAAGACGAAAUUGAUUUAGCUUGGUGGUGAUGCGGGGAUGUGGAUCUGUUUUGAUCCUGUAGGAAGCCGAGAAGGCUGGCGUGCUUCUAUCUUAUUUUUUAUAUUUCUGUAUUGGACAUCUUUUGGUACCGAUGGCAGUUUAACAAAUGCAGCUGCAUUUAAUGUCCCCCAUAAUACUGUUACAUCGGAAGUAUCACUACCAGUUUCAACACACCAUGAAGAUGACGAAUGUAGGAAUGUGACCACUGAUAAUAGAGCUACUACUGGUCUAUCAGUGGUCAGUCAAGGAUCUGGUUCUCCUCAUUCGCCGAUAGUGCCUCCAACCUUUCUGUACGGAGUUCUUACCUGCCAACCGUAUCAAGGAAUUUCUGUGAACCACAUCUACUUUCAACUAGCAAAUGCCUUCUUUCUAUUGUCACAUCUUGCACCAAGUGGCAUACAUGGCGUACUUUAUUUAAGGUGCACUCUGCUCGUGGGCUGUGCCUUUCUUGCUUUGUGGGGCUGGACAAUAGCUUGUUGGCUGGAUGCUGCUCUCUGGAAUGCUCUAUUUGUUGCCAUCAACUUCGUCCAUGUAUGCACGCUUCUUUACAAGCUCAGGCCUAUCAAGUUUUCAAGGGAAGUUGAAGAGGUAUAUAUUGCAGUGUUCCAGCCAUUAAGAGUAUCACGUCAUCAGUUCAGAAAAGUGUUAAAUUGUAUGAAGGUUAUUCGACAGUUGAAAUAUCAAGAAGUUUAUGCCCAAGAAAAAGUAACCAAAGUUGAUUCUUUAUCUUUGGUACUUUCUGGGAAGUUAGUAGUUUCGCAAAAUGGAAGAGCAUUGCACAUUGUCUUCCCACAUCAGUUCCUGGAUUCUCCAGAAUGGUUUGGUGUUUCUACAGAUGAAUACUUUCAGGUAUCAAUAACAGCUAUGGAAGAAUCGAGGAUACUACUAUGGCAUAGAGACAAGUUAAAAUUAAGCAUAAUUAGUGAUCAAUUUCUGCAGGCAGUGUUUGAUCACAUUUUGGGAAGGGAUGUAGUCAAAAAAUUGAUGCAGGUUAGCGAAACGAUGGCCGCUAGCAGUCAUCAACAGCAAAAUGGACAAGUAAUUGGUUUAAGUGGUAUUGGAGCCUUAGAAAACGAUCCUGACACCAAACUCUUCGUUGUGAAAAAGACUGGUGAUAGUCAAGGUAUUACUGCUCUCAUCAGCCGUCAACUUCAAGAAGAGAGAAUGCCGCUGCUGUACACGACUCAGGAAGUGCUGAACAACACUUUGCAUCAUAUUAAUCACCUACGUACACCUCCUUUACAUCCUGUACAACACAGCAAUGUUCAGUCUUCCCUAUAAUAUUCCUGUGACACAAACUGUGCAGAUACUUAGCACAAAUUUGUACGUGAUAUAUGUUAUGUUUCUGCAAUGGAUAUCCAUACAGUUAUACAAAUAUCACUGGGUAACUUCAUUUAUUUUCUUCUGGUUAUUGUAUUCAGCAGCAGGAGAUCCAAAUGCAUGGAGAUUGGGAAGAAUUGAAGAGACUGAUCAUGAAACGCCUGUUUAAUGGAAUGAAUAUUAGAUGAAUGUCAUCCUCGACAGUCAAUAUAAAGCAACACCGGUCUUUUUACAUAACAUGAAAUAAUGAUGAAGCGUAUCCGUCAUUUUGGAAAAUAUGGCAUGGUGUGCGUGGAGCAAUUAAACAUUCUCUUGCCAAUUAAUAAUUUUUCCCACUAGUCAAGUAUGAUUAACAAUGGAAAGAAAGAUUUCAUUGUUUAUAGAAUAAUGGUUCCAUCCUAGUUUAUAUAAAGUGAUAUAUGACUAAACAUUACUUUAUGCUUCCAAUAUAUUAUUGAAUAACACAGAAACUGAUUUAAA